Molecule: ribosomal RNA, 1416 nt
Filed under: Salmonella enterica subsp. enterica serovar Durham
Lineage: Bacteria; Pseudomonadati; Pseudomonadota; Gammaproteobacteria; Enterobacterales; Enterobacteriaceae
Description: partial 23S ribosomal RNA
Rfam family: Bacterial large subunit ribosomal RNA
Source: RNAcentral
GGGUAGAGCACUGUUUCGGCUAGGGGGCCAUCCCGGCUUACCAACCCGAUGCAAACUGCGAAUACCGGAGAAUGUUAUCACGGGAGACACACGGCGGGUGCUAACGUCCGUCGUGAAGAGGGAAACAACCCAGACCGCCAGCUAAGGUCCCAAAGUCAUGGUUAAGUGGGAAACGAUGUGGGAAGGCCCAGACAGCCAGGAUGUUGGCUUAGAAGCAGCCAUCAUUUAAAGAAAGCGUAAUAGCUCACUGGUCGAGUCGGCCUGCGCGGAAGAUGUAACGGGGCUAAACCAUGCACCGAAGCUGCGGCAGCGAACGUAUCACUUAAAGCGAUUCAGCGGGUUACGAUUGACGGAGCGAAGCGACGUCAAAGCGUAUACAAAGUCGAGUCGGUUUAAGGAUACGUUCGUUGGGUAGGGGAGCGUUCUGUAAGCCUGCGAAGGUGGCCUGUGAGGGUUGCUGGAGGUAUCAGAAGUGCGAAUGCUGACAUAAGUAACGAUAAAGCGGGUGAAAAGCCCGCUCGCCGGAAGACCAAGGGUUCCUGUCCAACGUUAAUCGGGGCAGGGUGAGUCGACCCCUAAGGCGAGGCCGAAAGGCGUAGUCGAUGGGAAACGGGUUAAUAUUCCCGUACUUGGUGUUACUGCGAAGGGGGGACGGAGAAGGCUAUGUUGGCCGGGCGACGGUUGUCCCGGUUUAAGCGUGUAGGUGUGUGUUCCAGGUAAAUCCGGUUCACUUUAACACUGAGGCGUGACGACGAGGCACUACGGUGCUGAAGCAACAAAUGCCCUGCUUCCAGGAAAAGCCUCUAAGCAUCAGGUAACAUCAAAUCGUACCCCAAACCGACACAGGUGGUCAGGUAGAGAAUACCAAGGCGCUUGAGAGAACUCGGGUGAAGGAACUAGGCAAAAUGGUGCCGUAACUUCGGGAGAAGGCACGCUGACACGUAGGUGAAGUGAUUUACUCAUGGAGCUGAAGUCAGUCGAAGAUACCAGCUGGCUGCAACUGUUUAUUAAAAACACAGCACUGUGCAAACACGAAAGUGGACGUAUACGGUGUGACGCCUGCCCGGUGCCGGAAGGUUAAUUGAUGGGGUCAGCGCAAGCGAAGCUCCUGAUCGAAGCCCCGGUAAACGGCGGCCGUAACUAUAACGGUCCUAAGGUAGCGAAAUUCCUUGUCGGGUAAGUUCCGACCUGCACGAAUGGCGUAAUGAUGGCCAGGCUGUCUCCACCCGAGACUCAGUGAAAUUGAACUCGCUGUGAAGAUGCAGUGUACCCGCGGCAAGACGGAAAGACCCCGUGAACCUUUACUAUAGCUUGACACUGAACAUUGAGCCUUGAUGUGUAGGAUAGGUGGGAGGCUUUGAAGUGUGGACGCCAGUCUGCAUGGAGCCGACCUUGAAAUACCACCCUUUAAUGUUU